CACGUAGGGGCCAAGCGUUGUCCGGAUUUAUUGGGCGUAAAGAGCUCGUAGGCGGUUGGGUAAGUCGGGUGUGAAAUCUCCAGGCUCAACCUGGAGAGGUCACUCGAGACUGUUAUGACUAGAGUCCGGUAGGGGACCACGGAAUUCCUGGUGUAGCGGUGAAAUGCGUAGAUAUCAGGAGGAACACCUGUGGCGAAGGCGUCCAUCUGGCCCGUUACUGACGCUGAUGCGCGAAAGCUAGGGGAGCAAACGGG
RNAcentral lists this ribosomal RNA (254 nucleotides) under uncultured bacterium. RNAcentral describes it as "partial 16S ribosomal RNA". It matches the Rfam family "Bacterial small subunit ribosomal RNA", at positions 524 to 776 of the family's 1533-position model. The record is from RNAcentral.